UGGGGGGUUCUGGGGGGAUUUUGGGGGCAUUUUUAGGAAUUUUGGGAGGGGCUUUUUUGGUAUUUGGUUGUGGGUUUUUUGGGCUUUGAGGGAUUUUGUUGUUUAGGGGGAAUUUUGGGGAGAAUUAUUGGGGGCUUUUAGGGAGAAUUAUUGGGCUUUGGGGCGGUUGCGGAUUUGGGGGCUUUUGGAUUUCAAGGGAGUUUAUUAGGGUUUUGCAGGUGGUUUAGUUGGGGGGAAUUGAUUGGACGAGGGAUGGGGAACAGGGAGGCUUUUUCAGGGCUGAAUCUUGGUGUUUGGGAGGUUUUUCUGGAGCCAAGGUGGCCAGUGACUUGUAGAGAUGGACUCGAGCAGAGGGACCUUCAAAGUCAAUGUGCUCAUCCCUUGUUUUCCCCAGACAAGGAUCUCCCAUUUCUGACCCUGGGGAGGCUGUGAGGAAGAGGAAGAUGCCCUGGAACACUGAGGCAGUCCAAGGUCGUCCAAUAUCAGGAAAGCGGAGCGGAAGCACAGAGCGACACCGUGUGAGACACAGAUGCCCCAGCAGUGCCUCGCAGGGACGGCCCGAGCCUCAGCCCAGGCUCCUCAGGCAGCCCUCGCCAGACCGCUGGCAGCCCUGGCCGGACCCUGACAGAGCAGCCACCCCAGCGCAGGGAUGGACCUGGCAACCUCCAGUGUGAAAAAUGCCUAUUGAAUGAUUGGCUUUUCGCAAAUAUUAAAAUGAGUAUUAUAUGUGUUGUGUUAGAAAGUAAUGCUGUAUUAAUUCUCUUAAGUAGCGUGUUAAAUAUAGUUUUAGGUUAUAAAAAAUGUUAAAAUAGAAA
Serinus canaria (Common canary) is the source of this 815-nucleotide long non-coding RNA. RefSeq lists it as uncharacterized. The transcript has 2 exons. Lineage: Eukaryota; Metazoa; Chordata; Aves; Passeriformes; Fringillidae. The record is from RefSeq and is a predicted model, not a curated record.